This 575-nucleotide ribosomal RNA is filed under the name Rhodotorula mucilaginosa. RNAcentral's name for it is "eukaryotic LSU rRNA". The stretch from base 142 to 295 matches the Rfam family "5.8S ribosomal RNA". Lineage: Eukaryota; Fungi; Basidiomycota; Microbotryomycetes; Sporidiobolales; Sporidiobolaceae. The record is from RNAcentral.
GACNUCCACUUACUUGGAGUCCGAACUCUCACUUUCUAACCCUGUGCACUUGUUUGGGAUAGUAACUCUCGCAAGAGAGCGAACUCCUAUUCACUUAUAAACACAAAGUCUAUGAAUGUAUUAAAUUUUAUAACAAAAUAAAACUUUCAACAACGGAUCUCUUGGCUCUCGCAUCGAUGAAGAACGCAGCGAAAUGCGAUAAGUAAUGUGAAUUGCAGAAUUCAGUGAAUCAUCGAAUCUUUGAACGCACCUUGCGCUCCAUGGUAUUCCGUGGAGCAUGCCUGUUUGAGUGUCAUGAAUACUUCAACCCUCCUCUUUCUUAAUGAUUGAAGAGGUGUUUGGUUUCUGAGCGCUGCUGGCCUUUACGGUCUAGCUCGUUCGUAAUGCAUUAGCAUCCGCAAUCGAACUUCGGAUUGACUUGGCGUAAUAGACUAUUCGCUGAGGAAUUCUAGUCUUCGGACUAGAGCCGGGUUGGGUUAAAGGAAGCUUCUAAUCAGAAUGUCUACAUUUUAAGAUUAGAUCUCAAAUCAGGUAGGACUACCCGCUGAACUUAAGCAUAUCAAUAAGCGGAGGAA